CUCAGACCCCAUUUUGAUAUAUCAAAUACGCGAAUGUCAUUUUAUCUUGGUGCGCUUCUCCACUAGGGUUCCAGCAACCCAACUUCCGGCGGCCCAACUUACAGUCUCAAACAGUACAGCAACCCAACUUCCAAUCUCAAACACUACAAUGCCUUACAACCCUGUUUUGUAGUUUAUUCUGGGUAAGUUGGCUGACAAAUUUGAAAAGACGGGAAAAACUCACCCCAUAAUGCUUCGCUUUGGGAAAUUUGUAUAGGAGAAAGACGCGAAAUUUAAGACUUGGCGAUAUAAGAAGCCAGUGAAACCGAUCCCUAUCUAUACGGUGGCUGCAAAAACUACCAUCACCUUGAAAAAUGUUGCUGUAGUCUUGAUACCCACCUUCAUGGUGAUGUUGGGACAGAAACUACUGUGGGAUAAUAUCCGAGAUGAAAUUUCGAAAUCCCAAAAAGAUUCAGAAUUCUGUUUCACAUCAGCUAUUUUGAAGGCAAAAGCGGACAUGGAGAAACAAGCUAGGGUCUUGAUAAGAGAAAAACUGGCCUAUCAAAGGCAACUAGCUAGAAAGGGACUCAUAUCGAUUCUUGAGAAGAAUCUCCCAGUCCUCUCUAUGGCGCUGAAAGACGUGCUAGAUCUUGAGAUAACUGCAGGGGAAGAGCCUGUUGGGGAGGUUCAGGAGACUACUGAGGAAGAACACUGACAGAGUAAUAAGAUAAAUGGCAGUCCGAUGCACGAAGCAUCCCGCGUUUAUGCAGGGUCCAGGGAAAGACCGCGAUCUUUUUGAUGUUUUAGGAAAAUUCACAAUAGAUCAUGAUCAUCUCACCUAUGACAUUGGUGACUUAAUUACAAGCUGCACAACUAUUUCUCGAGGUCGAAACUUAACAAGUUUGAGAUGAACCUUGCAAAGUUUUAUGUUCUUUUUAUAUGGCGUGGUAAAGUUUCCAUCUUGGCCUGUACGUUUUUCUAUUAGGCUGCUGUCUGGUCCUCCUUUUGCAUCUUUUAUGUAAUUUGAGUUUUAGCAAUGAUGUGAUAGUGCAUAACUUCUUUUAUGUAAUUUGGGUUUUAGCAAUGCCAAAAUUUUGAAUUGUUCACUCCUGCAAACUUAAUA
Molecule: non-coding RNA, 1102 nt
Organism: Nicotiana tabacum (common tobacco)
Lineage: Eukaryota; Viridiplantae; Streptophyta; Magnoliopsida; Solanales; Solanaceae
Source: RefSeq, a predicted model, not a curated record